GCCUCUUUCAUCUGUGUCCCUGAUCCCUCUCCAGCUGAUGUGAUUCUUUAGAAAUGAGAAAAUCGUUCAAGUCGCGGCUAUUUGUGUGUGAUCAGUAAAUAUUUAGUGUGGCGACAUCCUCAGCUCCUCUGCUGAUCAAUACGCAGCCCAACAGGAGGUGGACUAUUGUCCGGGUAGUGACUUGCUGAGAUCUCCUUUAGAUGAAUUCUUUGCCCCCAGUACCGUCUGUUAUGAUUUAUCCUCGAAGGUGACCAAUAAAGAAAACCUGAGUCUUUAAAAACC
Lonchura striata (white-rumped munia) is the source of this 282-nucleotide non-coding RNA. NCBI's taxonomy places the organism in Eukaryota, Metazoa, Chordata, Aves, Passeriformes, Estrildidae. The record is from RefSeq and is a predicted model, not a curated record.